GUAUCUUCGGAUAUGAGUAGAGCGGCGGACGGGUGAGUAACGCGUAGGAAUCUACCUAGUAGAAGGGGAUAGCCCGGGGAAACCCGGAUUAAUACCGUAUACCUCCUUCGGGAGAAAGAAGGCCUCUCUUUGAAGCUUUCGCUACUAGAUGAGCCUGCGUAAGAUUAGCUUGUUGGUGAGGUAAAGGCUCACCAAGGCAACGAUCUUUAGCUGGUCUGAGAGGACGAUCAGCCACAUUGGGACUGAGACACGGCCCAGACUCCUACGGGAGGCAGCAGUGGGGAAUAUUGGACAAUGGGCGCAAGCCUGAUCCAGCCACACCGCGUGUGUGAAGAAGGCCUUCGGGUUGUAAAGCACUUUAAGCAGGGAGAAAAAGUUAUAAGCUAAUACCUUAUAACCUUGAUGUUACCUGCAGAAUAAGCACCGGCUAAUUCCGUGCCAGCAGCCGCGG
Molecule: ribosomal RNA, 451 nt
Filed under: uncultured Gammaproteobacteria bacterium
Lineage: Bacteria; Pseudomonadati; Pseudomonadota; Gammaproteobacteria
Description: bacterial SSU rRNA
Rfam family: Bacterial small subunit ribosomal RNA
Source: RNAcentral